RNAcentral lists this long non-coding RNA (235 nucleotides) under Capsicum annuum. RNAcentral describes it as "long non-coding RNA (CANN_LNC005340)". Lineage: Eukaryota; Viridiplantae; Streptophyta; Magnoliopsida; Solanales; Solanaceae. The record is from RNAcentral.
AAUAGGAAAAAACCUAGUGAAGAAAAAAGAGUACACAAAUCUUGUAAUACGCCUUUAAUGUUGCCUCAUUAAAAACUUUACCAGGAAAAUUCGAUUGACACAAAACUUUGAUCAAGAAAUAAAGAGAACAACGCGUAUUUUGCUCCCCCUGAUGAAAACUUUAUUUGAUAAUUAUAGACGACGCAUUCCAUCUUAUAUCUCAGCUUCUCAAAUAUUGAUGUUGAUAAUGUCUUAG